RNAcentral lists this long non-coding RNA (530 nucleotides) under Brachypodium distachyon (stiff brome). Its description in RNAcentral is "long non-coding RNA (BDIS_LNC003839)". Lineage: Eukaryota; Viridiplantae; Streptophyta; Magnoliopsida; Poales; Poaceae. The record is from RNAcentral.
GAGGAAGUAAUGUUGUAUAGUGGUUAUUAAUUUGUUUUAUAUAUUGUAGUUCAUGCUUGCAUAAACUAAAAAACGUGAACAUUUAAAUGAAAUUCGAAAAUUUGUGACUAAAAGACAAAUAUGUACUAGCGCUGAAAAUACAUAUCUCUUGAACAUGAAGGAUGAUCUCUUGAGUAUGAAAGGGCAUUCUUUGCAAAUCUUAAUGGAACCAACAUGACUUGUUGCUUAUCAAUAGUAGGAUAAAAUAGUGUGGCCUUGACAUGCUGUUAAUUAGAAAAAAAAACUGUGUUGAAACAAAAUAAAAAUGGCACAAGAGCCCGCACUAGGCCGACAAAUUAGCAAGGGAAACCACAGAUAAAUAUCACCGAAACAGCCGACGCGGCAACCAAAUUUUGUCAAUGAAAAAAACACGCUGCCUCAUGAGAAGCGCACCGUGCCCUUCACCGAGCAAACUAGGUCCACGAACCCGCUUAGAGAGCGGUAAAAUACCCUGAUAGGUAAAGGCACUACAUGACAACACCACAGGCACC